CUAAAUUUCCAUAUGUAUUUGUAUAUUUGAACUUUAUAUUCUACUUCAUUAAGCCCUAUAUGUGGAUUUUUAAAAUAACAUUCUAUUUCAAUUAGUAUAGCAUCACACUUUGUCUUACUAACUGAGGAGGAAAUUCUCCUUCUCUGAAUUUGAAGAUUUCCUGAAGCCUGAGUUAGCUGCAGUAUUGUAUUUGGCCUCUAGAGGGAGAUGUUACACAAAUUGAAUUUGAUAGCCAAAAACAACCUGAUCUUUUUGAAGAACAGCUUUUUGCUUUACAUGCUGGGCAAACUCAUCCACUUCUCUAUCAGAGUGUCUGUGUGGCCGAAUUGUUUCCAGAAAAGACCUCCAGAAAAUAGCUUCCUGUUUCUCCACCGCUCAGACAUGAAGCCCACCCUCAUCUCAGUGCUUGUGAUAAUAUUUAUACUCAGAGGAACAAGAGCCCAGAGUGUGACUCAGCCCGAGAAGCUCCUCUCUGUCUUUAAAGGGGCCCCAGUGGAGCUGAAGUGCUACUAUUCAUAUUCUGGGAGUCCUGAUCUCUUCUGGUAUGUCCAGUACCCCAAACAACGCCUCCAGUUACUCUUGAGACACAUCUCUAGAGACAGCAUCAAAGGCUUCACUGCUGACCUUAACAAAAGCGAUACAUCUUUCCAUCUGAAGAAACUAUUCGCUCAAGAGGAAGACUCAGCCACGUAUUACUGUGCUCUAAGUGGCACAGUAGCUGGUUUUGCAAGGAAGCAGAACACAAACCCUUUAGUCACAGGAAAUAUUUCUUUGUAA
Molecule: non-coding RNA, 777 nt
Organism: Chlorocebus sabaeus (green monkey)
Lineage: Eukaryota; Metazoa; Chordata; Mammalia; Primates; Cercopithecidae
Source: the annotation of a RefSeq genome assembly